AGACGUCUACAUUAGAUACCCCUGUAGUCCCAGCCGUAAACUAUGCGCGUUAGGUGUAUCGGUGACCACGAGUUACCGAGGUGCCGAAGGGAAACCGUGAAACGUGCCGCCUGGGAAGUACGGUCGCAAGGCUGAAACUUAAAGGAAUUGGCGGGGAGGCACCACAACGGGUGGAGCCUGCGGUUUAAUUGGACUCAACGCCGGGAAGCUCACCGGAUAGGACAGCAGAAUGAUUGCCGGGCUGAAGACCCUGCAUGACUAGCUG
RNAcentral lists this ribosomal RNA (265 nucleotides) under uncultured archaeon. Its description in RNAcentral is "partial 16S ribosomal RNA". It matches the Rfam family "Archaeal small subunit ribosomal RNA", at positions 714 to 982 of the family's 1478-position model. The record is from RNAcentral.